GACUCCUUCCACCCCUCACGUAUGCCAACUUCUUCUACUGCAAUUUCCCCGCAACUUCCCCUUUAUUACUUUAUUCCUUCUCUCUCCUCUUCCCCCCUUUUUCUCCUCUCGACGAAAUCACCUCUCCUCUUCUUUUCUUUUUCUCCCCCCUCACGCAUUCUCCAUUUCUACCAUAGCACCUCCAUCCUUCUUUCACCUCCAUUUAUUUGCUUUCAUUUUCAAUAGCUUCAUCAUCCACUCGGCUCACCAUCAUCCUCACCGUUGCACGCCAUCCACAUGCCAUUCGCUCAAGCUGAGCGCCCUUGGCUUUGAGCUCAACUUCAACGAACCGUCGCCGUUCGAGUUGCGAGCCUUGUGAUUUUGUCACCGUCGCGCCGCCGGCACAGGAAGUGCGUGGUUCUUGCAUAGGUCCCUAAAUGGAGGAAGGCCAGGUCAUGUACAGUCGGUUGCAAGGAAGAAAGAGUAGGACUCUCGCUAUCUCCUUCCAGGUGAUGACGGUUCUUCCAUCGAGGCUGAAUGCAGGGUGAUGGCUCACCUUAGAGAGAUCGAGAAUUAUGGUAGUGUAGUAGUGAACCCCAGUCUUGUAAAUAGAAGCUUAGCUCGUGGGUAACCGAACAGCUUCACCUUUUGUAUCGGAUCUUGGGGUGUUAAACUGGUAUAUAUACACAUAAGUACUUUGGUAUUA
Long non-coding RNA from Eucalyptus grandis, 685 nucleotides. RefSeq lists it as uncharacterized. NCBI's taxonomy places the organism in Eukaryota, Viridiplantae, Streptophyta, Magnoliopsida, Myrtales, Myrtaceae. The transcript is spliced from 2 exons. The record is from RefSeq and is a predicted model, not a curated record.